UCUAGGGUGUGGAACUGUGGCAAGUUGAGCUCCUGCCAGCUGUCCAAAUUAAUGACUUGAGGGUAUGGAACCCAGGAGUCCUGACCUCCAGAUCCCACCCCCGCCCUAACAGUUAGCCCUCACUCCCUUACCAGACCUGGGAAUGGAACAACAGUUGCACGUUUGUCGGAAGACUUUUUACUCUAGCAACACUCGGUGGUCAGCUGGGCGCCCCCUGGACACUGUCUGGAGCAACACAUCUCGAAGAACAACAGUUACAAAGGAAUUAGGUACAGUGCUCCUGUCAGCUAAUUUCUAAGUUAUUAUCUGCAAAAAAAACCCUAGAGUUUUCACGUGCCUCCAUAGCCCCUGGAAUCACAGUUAAAGUCCCUCCUCCCAAAAAAUCUGAAACGGCACCUCUGCAGUUGGACCUUUUGACAUCUGAGAAAGUGUGGAAAGACAGUUUAAAUUUAACCUAAUCACAAGAUCUUCCCUUAUCUCUGUCUACCAUAUGGUAGUCAUGGACAGCAGCCAAAAGUCUGUCUUCGUCAAAUGGUUUAUUAUGUCAAAGAACAAUGUGGCAUUAAGGCAACUCAUCUUCUAUUAUUCAAAACAUAUUCAAAAUGCCACUAGUACCAUUCAGGCAUCCAUGCUUGAAAUCCUGACAGUAAGCUCACCAACAUCAUACAGUUUUCCUAUGAUAAACUGAAAGCAUCAGAGCCAAGAGAGUGCUGACUGUGCUGUUGAAACAGUCCUGGACAGCACAAUGUUCACAAUAAAAUGACCGCAUCAUAUGCUUGUUCUGGACACAGUUUGCUUUGGAUGUCUCUGGCGGGAGUUCCAGGGGAGAAAGUAAGUUGCAGAACAGGCUCUGCAGCAGGAAGUAGAACUCGUAUGCAAAUCACAAAUCAGAAGUGGAAAACGUCAGUCUGAAAAUCUCUGAGGGGGAGUGAAUCAGUAACAGAGGAAAACUACUUUGAAGUUAAAAAGUCCCUUGAAAUGUUUCUGUCCUUACAAGUCAGGCUGCUGUUUAACCCGCACAGAUAAGUAACUGCAGGGGAAACCCAAUAUGAUUUUCAAGCAUAAUA
This is a long non-coding RNA of Mauremys reevesii (Reeves's turtle), 1067 nucleotides long. RefSeq lists it as uncharacterized. The transcript is spliced from 6 exons. Lineage: Eukaryota; Metazoa; Chordata; Testudines; Geoemydidae. The record is from RefSeq and is a predicted model, not a curated record.